AUGGGUUUCUCUCGCGCUGUGGAGUGGUGGGAUGAGUGGCAACUGCGCAUUCUGGUGCUGGCCAGUCUCUUCAUCCAGUACUUCCUCUUCUUCUCCUCCGUGGUGCGCAGGUUAGCUCUUCCAGCUUGGCUCAGACUUUUCAUCUGGCUUGCCUACCUAGGCGGGGAUGCUGUGGCCAUAUACGCCGUGGCCACCCUCUUCAACUGCCACAAGCAGCUGCCCACGGAUGGCAGCGGCCUGGAGGUCCUGUGGGCGCCUGUCCUCCUCAUCCACCUUGGGGGCCAGCACCUGAUGUCGGCCCACAGCAUCGAAGACAACGAGCUGUGGACGCGGCACACCAUAACCGUGGUGUCCCAGGUCACGGUUGCCCUGUACGUGUUCUGCAAGUCAUGGUCCGGGGAGAAGAGGUUGCUUCAGGCGGGAAUCUUGAUGUUCGUCGUUGGGAUCGUCAGAUCCGUCCAGAAGCCAUGGGCUCUAAAGAAUGCCAUUAUCAGUGGCAUGGUCACUGUUGGAAUAAGCCACGGCGUGUGUUGUCGGGCUCGUCCGGCGCGUCGGGUGCGCGCGGGACGGGCGGGACACACUGGUAGCGUUGGGCUCGUCGGGUUCGUCGGGUGUGUCGGUGACGCGCGGGACGGACGGGACGUGUGGGAUGCAGUAGCGUGGCGUGUGCGUAGUGUGUUUACUUGUAGCAGUUCCAUGUGUGUAGCGUGGCUGUGUGUGCAUGUGUGUGACGUGAUAGUCAGCGGCGUGAGUUAG
RNAcentral lists this ribosomal RNA (756 nucleotides) under Triticum aestivum (bread wheat). RNAcentral describes it as "partial small subunit ribosomal RNA". Lineage: Eukaryota; Viridiplantae; Streptophyta; Magnoliopsida; Poales; Poaceae. The record is from RNAcentral.